Molecule: ribosomal RNA, 274 nt
Filed under: uncultured bacterium
Lineage: Bacteria
Description: partial 16S ribosomal RNA
Rfam family: Bacterial small subunit ribosomal RNA
Source: RNAcentral
AUACGGAGGGGGUUAGCGUUGUUCGGAAUUACUGGGCGUAAAGCGUACGUAGGCGGAUCGGAAAGUAAGGGGUGAAAUCCCAGGGCUCAACCCUGGAACUGCCUCUUAAACUCCCGGUCUUGAGUUCGAGAGAGGUGAGUGGAAUUCCUAGUGUAGAGGUGAAAUUCGUAGAUAUUUGGAGGAACACCAGUGGCGAAGGCGGCUCACUGGCUCGAUACUGACGCUGAGGUACGAAAGUGUGGGGAGCAAACAGGAUUAGAAACCCUAGUAGUCC